AUUGAAACACCCAUUCUCAUAUGAUCACCAAAGUUAAGCAACAUCAAGUCUGGUCAGUACCUAGAUGGGUGACCGCUUGGAAUACCAGGUGGUGUA
Molecule: non-coding RNA, 96 nt
Organism: Acanthosepion pharaonis
Lineage: Eukaryota; Metazoa; Mollusca; Cephalopoda; Sepiida; Sepiidae
Source: the annotation of a GenBank genome assembly